UGCCAACGCGCCAGUCCAGGAUCUGCCU
Molecule: non-coding RNA, 28 nt
Filed under: Mus musculus (house mouse)
Lineage: Eukaryota; Metazoa; Chordata; Mammalia; Rodentia; Muridae
Source: RNAcentral